UAAAAAAAAGUAAAAAGAUACAGUAUGACUCUCUCAAUCUUUCUCUCUCCCAUUUCUCCUCAUCGCGAUUGUCUCUUCCAUUUCUCUGAUUGUCUCCGAUUGUCUCUUCCGUUUUUCCAAUCACCCUCAUGGAUUUCUAGCAAUCAUUGUCGCGAUCUCAAUCUCUCAUCAACAUGGAUAGUUCACUUUUGGGCACCAACAUUAAAUGGGUCAUCAACAUAGCUAAUGUUGUCGACUUCUCUAAACCACCUGAAAUCUUUCGUAUCCUCAACAAAUAGAAUUUUCCAUCAACUGGACUGCAAAACUACCAAAUGUCUCCUCUACUACUUCUCCGAACAUAACCGCAUCGAGCAUUCCAGUAUCAUCUUCUAGUUGCACUUAUGCCCUAGCACUUAAAAUGUAUUUAAGCAUAUUAGGUUUAAUGUAAAUAUUUGUUUUUUAAAAUUUAUAAUUUAUUUACAAAUUUAAAUAAAAACUACUCACUGUGGUGUGGGGGUGCCUCAUUGUUUGCAGUUUGGAUUUUCGCAAACAAUUGUUUCGUCAUACUUAUGUCGUAUUUUUCUAUGGCAUGUCGCACACGACAUGUAAUAGUACAUUUGGGCAGAAUUAAUUGUAUUUAUCUUUGCUUCUAUCCAAAAGUAUGCUUUCUACAUCAAAUAAGAAUUGUUCUUUGGAAAGUUAAACAUUGUACUUUGUUAUUAAAUUUAAAUAAAAAAGUAAUAUUUACCUC
Long non-coding RNA from Humulus lupulus (European hop), 730 nucleotides. RefSeq lists it as uncharacterized. The transcript has 3 exons. Lineage: Eukaryota; Viridiplantae; Streptophyta; Magnoliopsida; Rosales; Cannabaceae. The record is from RefSeq and is a predicted model, not a curated record.